This 467-nucleotide ribosomal RNA is filed under the name uncultured bacterium. RNAcentral describes it as "partial 16S ribosomal RNA". It matches the Rfam family "Bacterial small subunit ribosomal RNA", at positions 28 to 507 of the family's 1533-position model. The record is from RNAcentral.
GACGAACGCUGGCGGCGUGCUUAACACGUGCAAGUCGAACGGAAAGGCUCCAGCUUGCUGGAGUACUCGAGUGGCGAACGGGUGAGUAACACGUGGGUAAUCUGCCCUGCACUCUGGGAUAAGCCUGGGAAACUGGGUCUAAUACUGGAUAUGACCUUUCUCCUUAUGGGGUUUGGUGGAAAGUUUUUCGGUGUAGGAUGAGCCCGCGGCCUAUCAGCUUGUUGGUGGGGUGAUGGCCUACCAAGGCGACGACGGGUAGCCGGCCUGAGAGGGUGAUCGGCCACAUUGGGACUGAGAUACGGCCCAGACUCCUACGGGAGGCAGCAGUGGGGAAUAUUGCACAAUGGGCGGAAGCCUGAUGCAGCGACGCCGCGUGAGGGAUGACGGCCUUCGGGUUGUAAACCUCUUUCAGCAGGGACGAAGCGUAAGUGACGGUACCUGCAGAAGAAGCACCGGCUAACUACGUG